UGUUCUUUUUCCUACUCCUUCCCACUCUCAUUUUCGCUUUUUCUCAUGAGAGUUUGGUGUCUCUUCCUUUCUUUCUUCUUCUCUUCUCUUCUCUUCCGGUUCACAUUUGGAUCGUAUGGGUAGAACACAACCAAAUUUCAGACUUCGGCCACAACUCAUCCAUAAGAAUGUCACGUAGAUUGAACACUAUUGUGAAGAUCAAUGACUCAAGAGAGACUUGGAACCAUGUUGAGGUCCCAAAGCCAUUAAUUGAAAUGGUCUUUAUGGACAACAAGGGUCAUAAAAUAGAGGCUUAUGUGAAGAGCAUGGAAAGCAAAAAUUGGUUAGCCCAGUUGAAAUAGGGUCAGACUUAUAUUGUGCAAAACUUUGAAGUAGAGUCAAACACUAGCCAAUAUAGGACCACAAAUCAUCAAUAGAGGAUAUUCCUGACAUACCUCAUUAUCCUUAUCAUUUUACUGAAUUUGGCCAAUCAUCAAUAAAGUUGUUUAUGCUGAUCAUUUAAUAGUUGUCUGAUUUCAUUGGCGAAUUGACAUAUUGCAAUGACAACUUUAGAAUGACCCAAAGAGAGUUGUUCUCAGUCUGAGGAAUGAAAGGGGUUGUACAAUUACAUGCAUUUUGUGGGGACCUUUUGCAAUGCAAUUGAAAGCAUGGACUAGCGUGAAAACAACCCUGAAUCUAUGGUUAUCUUACUACACCUGGCCAAAAUCAAAGAACCUAAAGGUAUUUUAAAGCAACAAUAUACUAUAGAGUAUUUGUUUUGAAAACACAGUAUGAAAACUAUAGUAUCAUAGGGUGUUUUUGUAAAAUACUCAUGUAGGAAAGUAUGCAGACUACCCUAUUGCCAUUCAAAACUCAAUGUAUGGCUUAAAGCUGUUCAUAAAUGAUAAUAUGAAAGAGGUUCAGGAGUUCAGAAAAGGUACCUGUUAGUUUCAGGGUUGACUUUAGAUUUGUUAUAAUUUAAUGAUGACUGUGUCCAUUUAAUAUAUGCAGUUUGGAAUCAAAUGAGAACAUUGUGGUUUCCUUCAGUCAGAAAAUUGUAACACUAUCUCAAAGUUCUCAAUUCAGCUCAGAAGUAAAGCUUGCCCAUAAUGUUGAGGUCAAAAGUUUAAGUGAGCUUGAUGACAUAAAAAAGCAAUGCAACCGUCUCACUGUUGCAACUACUAAAAAGCUAUUGGUAUACAAUGGUUGGAGCUUUAAAGGUUGUCCUAGAUGCAAUAGAAAACUGAAGAGACAAUGGAGCCAUACGCAUGUCCAGGCUGUAAGAAUAGGAAUGAGGGAAAAAUGCUUAGAUUCUGAUUGGAGGUCACAAUUACACACCAGCAACAUACUUUUACAUUCGUAUUAUGGAAUAAAGAAGCUACUCAACUGAUAAACCAAUCUGCUGCUGAUUUAAAAAAGCAAUUGAUUCAAAAUGAAGGUAAGUUUGAUCCAAAGUCUAUGCCUAAAGCCCUAGACAAUGUGUUGAAGAAACAAUUGGCAUUCAAAAUCAAGAUUGUUCCAAAUAGUAGCUGUUAUUCUGUUUUGGAAACAUCUCAAGAUUAAGAGAUAAUUAAAUCAGUGCUGCAAAAAAUUCUGAGUGUGUCCAAGACUGAGAUAGAAAAGUUAAUUUCCUCUUUGCCGAGGUUGGAUAACAUUGAUCUUAGUCAAACUGUUUUUGCAUCUCCCGACUUUGAUCCUGAAGUGCUAGAAGCUAUUAAACCUGCUAUGAGAUUAUCAAGUAAUUCACAAUUUGAUGAUACUUCGCUGGAGGAAUUAGCUUAUGUGCAGCUGUCUUCCUCAAAUUUAUCCAAACAAAUAAAAAAAUUAAUGAUUUAGUGUUUUAAGCAAGUAUCUUUUUGUUGUUAGUGUGAUCUAAAUAGCAAAUGUUGAUGGCUACAACAUGCAUUUUUUGGUUUUAGAAUGCCGAGAAACAGCUGGCAUAUAGAGCUUGAGUAGAAACUAUGUUUAAACUAGAAUAUAUACUUGCUAUGAGUUGUCCACUCCUUUUGGUUUGUAAUGUAUUUUAUAACAUGGUACAUAAACUUGUGUGAAAUCAUUAAGUAUGUGUGCUGAA
This is a long non-coding RNA of Glycine soja, 2053 nucleotides long. RefSeq lists it as uncharacterized. The record is from RefSeq and is a predicted model, not a curated record. The transcript is spliced from 10 exons. Lineage: Eukaryota; Viridiplantae; Streptophyta; Magnoliopsida; Fabales; Fabaceae.